UCGGUGUUGACCGCGUAUAUUUGACGGCCGGAAGUGUUCGCGUGUCUUUUUGCUAUCAUUUUUCAAUAUUUUGAGGACAAAACGAUAUUAUAUGACUGUGGAGAGAUUGUUUCUUCAUAAAUGAGGUUGUUUAUCAACAGACAAUCUGGACAAUAACGGGCCGAUGAUCUCUGUUCGAGACCCCAAGGAGUUUAUUCCGUAUGGCAGGGGUCAAUGCAUGCGUCACCCCCGUGAAGUGGGCUUGCUGCCCUCAUCGAGUGAUGUUGACUCUCCCAGCGGUACCAGUGUACAGCCGGGACAAUGGCGGCUGUAUCUGCACACGGAGCACGGGACCGAGGUGGAGGAGGAGCUGUACACCGAGCACAACAUGCUGGUGUGCAGUCGGGGAGUCGGGCCGCAUCGCGCCUUCACCAUGGACGCGCCCAUCA
Pollicipes pollicipes is the source of this 428-nucleotide long non-coding RNA. RefSeq lists it as uncharacterized. The record is from RefSeq and is a predicted model, not a curated record. NCBI's taxonomy places the organism in Eukaryota, Metazoa, Arthropoda, Thecostraca, Pollicipedomorpha, Pollicipedidae. The transcript is spliced from 4 exons.